This 391-nucleotide ribosomal RNA is filed under the name uncultured bacterium. RNAcentral's name for it is "bacterial SSU rRNA". It matches the Rfam family "Bacterial small subunit ribosomal RNA", at positions 29 to 409 of the family's 1533-position model. The record is from RNAcentral.
AACGAACGCUGGCGGCGCGCCUAAUACAUGCAAGUCGAGCGAGAAGACGUAGCAAUACGUUUGUAAAGCGGCGAACGGGUGAGGAAUACAUGGGUAACCUACCCUCGAGUGGGGAAUAACUAGCCGAAAGGUUAGCUAAUACCGCGUACGCUCCUUGGACUUCGGUUCAGGGAGGAAAGCGAUACCGUGGGUAUCGCGCUCUUGGAUGGGCUCAUGUCCUAUCAGCUUGUUGGUGAGGUAACGGCUCACCAAGGCUUCGACGGGUAGCUGGUCUGAGAGGACGAUCAGCCACACUGGCACUGCGACACGGGCCAGACUCCUACGGGAGGCAGCAGUAAGGAAUAUUGCGCAAUGGGCGAAAGCCUGACGCAGCGACGCCGCGGUGGGGGAU